RNAcentral lists this long non-coding RNA (1215 nucleotides) under Anas zonorhyncha (Eastern spot-billed duck). Its description in RNAcentral is "lncRNA (ENSAZOG00000005270.1)". The record is from RNAcentral. Lineage: Eukaryota; Metazoa; Chordata; Aves; Anseriformes; Anatidae.
CCCUGCCCGGCGCGACUCAGGGCUGCACACCCCUACCUUCCUUGCCUUUGGGGCUGUCCUGGGGCACCUGCCCAGAACAAGCGCUCCUCCUCUGCCUGCCCCUCCUCCCCUGCCACUCUCAUUCCCCCUGUGCUUUCCUCCCGGCAGCCUCCACCCCCAAAGAGACAACGGUGCCUCACAUCGUGCCGCCCGUGAGCACGGAGAAGACCCCCCCGGCCACGUCUGCCAGCAGCACCUCCAGGACGUCCGUGCCCAGCGAGGCCAGCCCGUCCCCCUGUGCUUUCCUCCUAGCAGCCUCCACCCCCAAAGCGACAACGGUGCCUCACAUCGUGCCGCCCAUGAGCACGGAGAAGACCACCCCGGCCACGUCUGCCAGCAGCACCUCCAGGACGUCCGUGCCCAGCGAGGCCAGCCCCGCCAGCAGCCCAGCAGUGCCAGUGGCCAGGACGUCGCCUGCCCCCAGCAGCCCUCUCAGCACCAGGCUGCCAUCUGCCGCCCCUUCCACAGCCUCCUCCCCGUCGCCCCCAAGCUCCCGGCUCAGGCCCACGCCUACGACCCUGAGGCCCAAGCCCUCUCCCCCGAGGACCAGUGCUCCCACAGAGUCGCCUGCGUCCUCCGCACCCUCCACAGCCAAAACUAGCCCGCUGCCCUCAUCUACGUCCUUCCCUCUCUCAACUGUGUCCUCAGCAGUGCCGAGCUCCUCACAGCCAGCCUCCACCCCCAAAGAGACAACGGUGCCUCACAUCGUGCCGCCCGUGAGCACGGAGAAGACCACCCCGGCCACGUCUGCCAGCAGCACCUCCAGGACGUCCGUGCCCAGCGAGGCCAGCCCCGCCAGCAGCCCAGCAGUGCCAGUGGCCAGGACGUCGCCUGCCCCCAGCAGCCCUCUCAGCACCAGGCUGCCAUCUGCCGCCCCUUCCACAGCCUCCUCCCCAUCGCCCCCAAGCUCCCGGCUCAGGCCCACGCCUACGACCCUGAGGCCCAAGCCCUCUCCCCCGAGGACCAGUGCUCCCACAGAGUCCCCUGCGUCCUCCGCACCCUCCACAGCCAAAACCAGCCCGCUGCCCUCAUCUGCGUCCUCCCCGCUCUCAACUGUGUCCCCAGCAGUGCCGAGCUCCUCACAGCCAGGUAAGGCUCCCUGCUGCCUUUCCUUUGCUCUGCUUGCUCUUUGUAGGGAACACAAAUGCCAUUAUUCUUUCUGUUCCUCUUUCGUCC